UGGGGAAUAUUGCACAAUGGAGGGAACUCUGAUGCAGCGACGCCGCGUGAACGAAGAAGGCUUUCGAGUCGUAAAGUUCUUUUAUAUGGGAAGAUAAUGACGGUACCAUAAGAAGAAGCCCCGGCUAACUACGUGCCAGCAGCCGCGGUAAUACGUAGGGGGCUAGCGUUGUCCGGAAUCACUGGGAGUAAAGGGUUCGCAGGCGGAAAUGCAAGUCAGGUGUAAAAGGCAGUAGCUUAACUACUGUAAGCAUUUGAAACUGCAUAUCUUGAGAAGAGUAGAGGUAAGUGGAAUUUUUAGUGUAGCGGUGAAAUGCGUAGAUAUUAAAAAGAAUACCGGUGGCGAAGGCGACUUACUGGGCUCAUUCUGACGCUGAGGAACGAAAGCGUGGGUAGCAAACAGG
RNAcentral lists this ribosomal RNA (403 nucleotides) under bacterium. RNAcentral's name for it is "partial 16S ribosomal RNA". It matches the Rfam family "Bacterial small subunit ribosomal RNA", at positions 355 to 776 of the family's 1533-position model. The record is from RNAcentral.